UACGUAGGGUGCGAGCGUUGUCCGGAAUUAUUGGGCGUAAAGAGCUCGUAGGCGGUGUGUCGCGUCGGCCGUGAAAACCUGCAGCUUAACUGUGGGCUUGCGGUCGAUACGGGCAUCACUGGAGUUCGGCAGGGGAGACUGGAAUUCCUGGUGUAGCGGUGAAAUGCGCAGAUAUCAGGAGGAACACCGGUGGCGAAGGCGGGUCUCUGGGCAACAACUGACGCUGAGGUGCGAAAGCGUGGGUAGCGAACGGG
This 254-nucleotide ribosomal RNA is filed under the name uncultured bacterium. Its description in RNAcentral is "partial 16S ribosomal RNA". It matches the Rfam family "Bacterial small subunit ribosomal RNA", at positions 524 to 776 of the family's 1533-position model. The record is from RNAcentral.